Molecule: long non-coding RNA, 401 nt
Filed under: Homo sapiens (human)
Lineage: Eukaryota; Metazoa; Chordata; Mammalia; Primates; Hominidae
Description: non-protein coding lnc-ROBO2-10:1
Source: RNAcentral
CUGCGUGGCCUAGGAAGGCAUUGCUGCGAGAGCUGUGAUGGACACUAACACUGCUUUGCAAGAGGUGCUGGAGAGCGCCUUCAUCCAUGAGGGCCUGGCGUGUGGGAUUCGUGGUGGCGCCAAAGUCUGAAACAAGGGCCAAGCCCAUCUUUGUGCUCUUGCAAGCAAAUGUGAUGAGCCUAUACGUAUGUCAAAUUGGUGAAGGUUCUUGUGAUGAACACCAAAUCAACCUGUUAAGGCUGAUGACAACAUGAUACUAGGGAAAUGGUUGGGUAUCUGUGAAUCUCACAGGGGAAAACAUGUAAAGUGGUUGGUUGCAGUUGUGUGAUAGUUAAGGUCUAUGAUAAAGAAUCUCAGGCCACGCAUGUCAUCAAAGACUACUUCAAAUCCAAAAAAAAUGA